Molecule: microRNA precursor, 77 nt
Filed under: Myotis lucifugus (little brown bat)
Lineage: Eukaryota; Metazoa; Chordata; Mammalia; Chiroptera; Vespertilionidae
Description: mir-9229 microRNA precursor family
Rfam family: mir-9229 microRNA precursor family
Source: Rfam by way of RNAcentral
GAGACACUGUUAAUGGGGUAGGACUUGCUUCAGUGGGGCUUUGGUGCUCACUGAGUCUGCCUCUUGAGUGUGUCCCU